CCUUGAUGGCGACCGGCGCACGGGUGAGUAACGCGUAUGCAACCUGCCCGAUACCGGGGUAUAGCCCAUGGAAACGUGGAUUAACACCCCAUAGUACUUUUAUCCUGCCUGGGAUGGGAGUUAAAUGUUCAGGGUAUCGGAUGGGCAUGCGUCCUAUUAGUUAGUUGGCGGGGUAACAGCCCACCAAGACGAUGAUAGGUAGGGGUUCUGAGAGGAAGGUCCCCCACAUUGGAACUGAGACACGGUCCAA
Molecule: ribosomal RNA, 250 nt
Filed under: uncultured bacterium
Lineage: Bacteria
Description: partial 16S ribosomal RNA
Rfam family: Bacterial small subunit ribosomal RNA
Source: RNAcentral